RNAcentral lists this small nuclear RNA (135 nucleotides) under Acidomyces richmondensis BFW. RNAcentral's name for it is "U4 spliceosomal RNA". It matches the Rfam family "U4 spliceosomal RNA". From Rfam's summary of the family: U4 small nuclear RNA (U4 snRNA) is a component of the major U2-dependent spliceosome. The structure of U4 snRNA from yeast and human has been reported. Lineage: Eukaryota; Fungi; Ascomycota; Dothideomycetes; Mycosphaerellales; Teratosphaeriaceae. The record is from Rfam by way of RNAcentral.
UUCGUUUAGCACGGGCAGUACGCAUACCAGUGAGGAUUCGUCCGAGGUUGCGUUUUUGCUAGUUGAAAACUAUUAUAGUUUGACCGCUCCUGUUGGUCUUCGGAUCGGCAGGGAAUCUUUGGAACCCCUUAGAUG